AUCUAUUACUGAUUUCAUGGUCAACAUUGAGAGGGAAAUUGUGCACAAAGAGAAUUUGGAGAGAGAGGAGAGAAAAUCUUAAAGAAAGGAGACAAAUUUUAACCAAGAACCUAGAAAAAGGGAUGCAAUCUGAAGAUUUCUUGAGACAAGAAAUAUUCAGA
This is a long non-coding RNA of Neltuma alba, 161 nucleotides long. RefSeq lists it as uncharacterized. Lineage: Eukaryota; Viridiplantae; Streptophyta; Magnoliopsida; Fabales; Fabaceae. The transcript has 3 exons. The record is from RefSeq and is a predicted model, not a curated record.